GAUGAAGAACGCAGCGAAAUGCGAUAAGUAAUGUGAAUUGCAGAAUUCAGUGAAUCAUCGAAUCUUUGAACGCACAUUGCGCCCUCUGGUAUUCCGGAGGGCAUGCCUGUUCGAGCGUCAUUACAACCCUCAGGCCCCCGGGCCUGGCGUUGGGGAUCGGCGGAAGCCCCCUGCGGGCACAACGCCGUCCCCCAAAUACAGUGGCGGUCCCGCCGCAGCUUCCAUUGCGUAGUAGCUAACACCUCGCAACUGGAGAGCGGCGCGGCCACGCCGUAAAACACCCAACUUCUGAAUGUUGACCUCGAAUCAGGUAGGAAUACCCGCUGAACUUAAGCAUAUCAAUAAGCGGAGGA
Molecule: unclassified non-coding RNA, 353 nt
Filed under: soil metagenome
Description: partial contains 5.8S ribosomal RNA, internal transcribed spacer 2, and large subunit ribosomal RNA
Rfam family: 5.8S ribosomal RNA (bases 1-120)
Source: RNAcentral